RNAcentral lists this ribosomal RNA (247 nucleotides) under uncultured bacterium. Its description in RNAcentral is "partial 16S ribosomal RNA". It matches the Rfam family "Bacterial small subunit ribosomal RNA", at positions 15 to 244 of the family's 1533-position model. The record is from RNAcentral.
GAUCCUGGCUCAGGACGAACGCUGGCGGCGUGCUUAACACAUGCAAGUCGAACGGAACGCCCUUGAAAGAGACUUCGGUCAAUGGAUUGGGUUGUUUAGUGGCGGACGGGUGAGUAACGCGUGAGGAACCUGCCUUUCAGAGGGGGACAACAGUUGGAAACGACUGCUAAUACCGCAUGACGCGUAGAGGUCGCAUGAUCUUUACGCCAAAGAUUUAUCGCUGAAAGAUGGCCUCGCGUCUGAUUAG